This 841-nucleotide ribosomal RNA is filed under the name uncultured Pseudomonadota bacterium. Its description in RNAcentral is "uncultured proteobacterium partial 16S ribosomal RNA". It matches the Rfam family "Bacterial small subunit ribosomal RNA", at positions 1 to 844 of the family's 1533-position model. Lineage: Bacteria; Pseudomonadati; Pseudomonadota. The record is from RNAcentral.
GGCCGCGGGAAUUCGAUUAGAGUUUGAUCCUGGCUCAGGACGAACGCUGGCGGCGCGCCUUAACACAUGCAAGUCGAGCGAGAACCAGUCCUUCGGGGCUGGGGACAGCGGCGAACGGGUGAGUAACACGUGAGUAAUCCACCCUCGGUACCGGAAUAGCCCGGGGAAACCCGGAUUAAUGCCGGAUGGCCCAUCUGUUCUUCGGAAUUUGAUGGAAAAGGUAGCUUCGGCCUCUGACCGGGGACGAGCUCGCGGCGGAUUAGCUUGUUGGCGGGGUAAAGGCCCACCAAGGCGACGAUCGGUAGCUGGUCUGAGAGGACGAUCAGCCACACUGGGAUUGAGAACGGCCCAGACUCCUACGGGGGGCAGCAGUGAGGAAUUUUCCGCAAUGGAGGCAACUCUGACGGAGCAACGCCGCGUGCAUGAGGACGGCCUUCGGGUUGUAAACUGCUUUUACCAGGGAAGAGCGUCGGACGGUACCUGGUGAACAAGCCCCGGCUAACUACGUGCCAGCAGCCGCGGUAAUACGUAGGGGGNCAGCGUUGUCCGGAGUUACUGGGCGUANAGGGCACGCAGGCGGUGCGGUCAGUUUGCGGGGACAGUGAACGGCUUAACUGCUCCAGAGACGCCAAGACUGGCGAACUGGAUAGCCAGAGAAGGGACUGGAACUCCGGGUGUGACGGUGAAAUGCGUAUAGAUCGGGAAGAACACCCUGGGCGUAGGCAGGUCCGGGCCCGUAUCUGAACCCUGAGGUCUAAAGCUAGGGGAACGACCGGAUUAAAUCCCCCGUAUUCUUACCCCCUACCGAUGCUCUUAAAUUGGAAAGGGUUCACCCCUGCGC